This 134-nucleotide small RNA is filed under the name Arabidopsis thaliana (thale cress). Its description in RNAcentral is "ATSL147880". The record is from RNAcentral. Lineage: Eukaryota; Viridiplantae; Streptophyta; Magnoliopsida; Brassicales; Brassicaceae.
UGGAAGAAAUUGAAGAGGAGGUGAAGUUGUUAUGAGGGAGAAGAAGGGAACGGAGAUGAUGAAACUGGAAAAGGCUACUGUUAGGUUUCAGAGUUCCGCUAAGACAUGCCCUGAGUUGUAGCAUCGUGACCGCA